AAGGAAGAAGGGAAGGAGAGGAAGAAGAGUAGGGGCUGCGGCUGCGGCGAUGGCAGCUGCAGUUGGAAGAGAAGAAGGAGAGGAAGAUGAGCAGGGGAGGAAGAAAAGGCUGUGGCCGUGGCUGAGGCUGCGACUGCAGCAUGCAGCUGGGAAAGAAGAGAAGGAAAGGAAGAAGAAGAGAAAGGAAGAAGGGAAGGAGAGGAAGAAGAGAAGGGGCUGCGGCUGCGGCGAUGGCAGCUGCAGUUGGCAGAGAAGAAGGAGAGGAAGAUGAGCAGGGGAGGAAGAAAAGGCUGUGGCCGUGGCUGAGGCUGCGACUGCAGCAUGCAGCUGGGAAAGAAGAGAAGGAAAGGAAGAAGAAGAGAAAGGAAGAAGGGAAGGAGAGGAAGAAGAGAAGGGGCUACGGCUGCGGCGAUGGCAGCUGCAGUUGGAAGAGAAGAAGGAGAGGAAGAUGAGCAGGGGAGGAAGAAGAGGCUGCGAGUGUGGUGGCUGUGGCCGUGGCUGCGACUCCGGCUGCGGCUGCGACGUUGGCUGCGGUAGCUGCGGCAGCGGUGGUGGCUGCAGUAGCUGCAGUAGCUGCUUUUGGGAAAGAGAAAGAGUAGGAACGAGAGAAGGGAAGAAGGAAAUAGUGCAGUGGAAGGGGGCUGCGGUUGUGACCGCAGUUGCGGUCGUGGCUGCGAUUGUGGCAGCGGCAGCGGCGGCGGCUGUGGCAGCUGCGUUUAGGAAAGAAAAAGAAUGAAUGAGAGUAAAAGAGAGCAGGUGACUGUGCCUCGAUGUUCGACACGUGGUGUAGUUGCGAAGAAAGGAAGAAAACGAGAGCACAAAACGAAACAGAGAGAGGACACGGAGGAAAAGUAGAAAGAUUGGAUUGGCACCUUCCUUGGAUAUUCAGAUCAAAAUAUUUGAAAGGUCAGCUUGUCACUCUUCGAGAUGUUUGAUUUGGGCUGAGGCAGUGGAUAGCUAUUCAGAAUAAUGGGCAAGUCUGGUUGGUUAUUACGAUAUUGUUGUAUAAGUAUGUCUUGUAUAUAAUGAAAUGUUGUCGAUGAACCGAAAUGGAUAUACUGUGUCCAAGUGUUAGGAGAUCUCUCUUAUUUGGAAUUUCAGAAUGUUAAGUCUAAUUUAUGGUGAUAUGAACUUGUGGUGAAUAGUUGGAGUUCUGAUUGUAUAAUUUAUUUAGCUUGUGGAUUUAUAAAUGUUGUUCAUUUUUUUUGUCAA
Musa acuminata AAA Group (dessert banana) is the source of this 1212-nucleotide long non-coding RNA. RefSeq lists it as uncharacterized. The transcript is spliced from 2 exons. NCBI's taxonomy places the organism in Eukaryota, Viridiplantae, Streptophyta, Magnoliopsida, Zingiberales, Musaceae. The record is from RefSeq and is a predicted model, not a curated record.